This 260-nucleotide ribosomal RNA is filed under the name uncultured Glomus. RNAcentral's name for it is "partial 18S ribosomal RNA". It matches the Rfam family "Eukaryotic small subunit ribosomal RNA", at positions 624 to 886 of the family's 1831-position model. The record is from RNAcentral. Lineage: Eukaryota; Fungi; Glomeromycota; Glomeromycetes; Glomerales; Glomeraceae.
AAGCUCGUAGUUGAAUUUCGGGGUUAGUAGGUUGGUCAUGCCUCUGGUAUGUACUGGUCUCACUGAUUCCUCCUUCCUUAUGAACCGUAAUGCCAUUAAUUUGGUGUUGCGGGGAAUUUGGACUGUUACUUUGAAAAAAUUAGAGUGUUUAAAGCAAGCUAACGCUUGAAUACAUUAGCAUGGAAUAAUGAAAUAGGACGUUCGAUCUUAUUUUGUUUGGUCUUCUAGGAUUGACGUAAUGAUUAAUAGGGAUAGUUGGG